Long non-coding RNA from Epinephelus fuscoguttatus (brown-marbled grouper), 176 nucleotides. RefSeq lists it as uncharacterized. The record is from RefSeq and is a predicted model, not a curated record. The transcript is spliced from 3 exons. NCBI's taxonomy places the organism in Eukaryota, Metazoa, Chordata, Actinopteri, Perciformes, Serranidae.
CAACGGCAUUGAGCCUCAAACAUCUGCACAAAGUCAAGUUCUUCUCUUGGCUGUUGCUGGUGUAUCUCUCUGUGUGAACGUCUUCUUCACAGUCUGCAUAGCGCUGCUUUGGAGAGCCAGACAGCAUGCGAAGCCGAAAGAAGAGGACAGAACGUACAUGUCAAUGAAUCGUAGAG